RNAcentral lists this ribosomal RNA (542 nucleotides) under Micula alni. RNAcentral's name for it is "LSU rRNA". It matches the Rfam family "Eukaryotic large subunit ribosomal RNA", at positions 355 to 922 of the family's 3401-position model. The record is from RNAcentral. Lineage: Eukaryota; Fungi; Ascomycota.
GAUCGAAAGAUGAAAAGCACCUUGAAAAGGGGGUUAAACAGUACGUGAAAUUGUUGAAAGGGAAGCGUUUAUGACCAGACUUGUGUCGUGUGGCUCAUCCGAGGUUCUCCCCGGUGCACUCCACACGGCUCAGGCCAACAUCGGUUCUCGUUGGGGGAUAAGAACAGUAGGAACGUGGCCCCUCUCGGGGGGUGUUAUAGCCUAUUGUACGAUACUCUGACGGGGACCGAGGACCGCGCUUCGGCUAGGAUGUUGGCGUAAUGGUCAUUAGCGACCCGUCUUGAAACACGGACCAAGGAGUCGUCCAUUAGAGCGAGCGUUUGGGUGUAAAACCCGCACGCGUAAUGAAAGUGAAAUUAGGUGAGAGCUUCGGCGCAUCAUCGACCGAUCCUGAAGUUUACGGAUGGAUUUGAGUAAGAGUUUUAACGGACGGACCCGAAAGACAGUGAACUAUGCUUGAAUAGGGUGAAGCCAGAGGAAACUCUGGUGGAGGCUCGCAGCGGUUCUGACGUGCAAAUCGAUCGUCAAAUUUGAGCAUGGGG